RNAcentral lists this ribosomal RNA (454 nucleotides) under uncultured Rikenellaceae bacterium. Its description in RNAcentral is "partial 16S ribosomal RNA". It matches the Rfam family "Bacterial small subunit ribosomal RNA", at positions 341 to 792 of the family's 1533-position model. The record is from RNAcentral. Lineage: Bacteria; Pseudomonadati; Bacteroidota; Bacteroidia; Bacteroidales; Rikenellaceae.
ACGGAAGGCAGCAGUGAGGAAUAUUGGUCAAUGGACGCAAGUCUGAACCAGCCAUGCCGCGUGCAGGAAUAAGGCCCUAUGGGUCGUAAACUGCUUUUGUGGUGGAGCAAUAAGUCGUACGUGUACGGCGAUGAGAGUACAUCACGAAUAAGCAUCGGCUAACUCCGUGCCAGCAGCCGCGGUAAUACGGAGGAUGCAAGCGUUAUCCGGAUUUAUUGGGUUUAAAGGGUGCGUAGGCUGUGGUCCAAGUCAGGGGUGAAAGCCCGGAGCUCAACUCCGGAACUGCCUUUGAUACUGGAUUGCUGGAAUACGGAUGCCGUGGGAGGAAUGAGUAGUGUAGCGGUGAAAUGCAUAGAUAUUACUCAGAACACCGAUUGCGAAGGCAGCUCACGAAUCCGUCAUUGACGCUGAGGCACGAAAGCGUGGGGAUCAAACAGGAUUAGAUACCCUGGUA